Molecule: ribosomal RNA, 407 nt
Filed under: uncultured bacterium
Lineage: Bacteria
Description: bacterial SSU rRNA
Rfam family: Bacterial small subunit ribosomal RNA
Source: RNAcentral
GAAGAACCUUACCAUCCCUUGACAUCCAGAGAAUCACCUAGAGAUAGAWGAGUGCCUUCGGGAGCUCUGAGACAGGUGCUGCAUGGCUGUCGUCAGCUCGUGUUGUGAAAUGUUGGGUUAAGUCCCGCAACGAGCGCAACCCUUAUCCUUAGUUGCCAGCACGUAAUGGUGGGAACUCUAGGGAGACUGCCGGUGAUAAACCGGAGGAAGGUGGGGACGACGUCAAGUCAUCAUGGCCCUUACGGGAUGGGCUACACACGUGCUACAAUGGCAAAUACAAAGGGCUGCUAACCUGCGAAGGUAUGCGAAUCUCAUAAAGUUUGUCGUAGUCCGGAUCGGAGUCUGCAACUCGACUCCGUGAAGUUGGAAUCGCUAGUAAUCGUGGAUCAGAAUGCCACGGUGAAUAC